GUGCUUGCUUCUGCAGAAUAUAUACUAAAAUUGGAACAAUGCAGAGAAGAUUAGCAUGGCCCCUGUGCAAGGAUGACACGCAAAUUCGUGAAGUGUUCCAUAUUUUU
RNAcentral lists this small nuclear RNA (107 nucleotides) under Mustela putorius furo (domestic ferret). The record is from RNAcentral. Lineage: Eukaryota; Metazoa; Chordata; Mammalia; Carnivora; Mustelidae.